This is a long non-coding RNA of Musa acuminata AAA Group (dessert banana), 1307 nucleotides long. RefSeq lists it as uncharacterized. NCBI's taxonomy places the organism in Eukaryota, Viridiplantae, Streptophyta, Magnoliopsida, Zingiberales, Musaceae. The transcript is spliced from 3 exons. The record is from RefSeq and is a predicted model, not a curated record.
AUUACUCGAAGCUUUCCCCGUUAACAUCCGCUUCCAAAGGCCAGUAGUCGAUCGAUCUCUCCAAACCAGGCCAAGCCCUAGAAAUCUUGCGAUCCCUUGAGACCCAAGCGGAGCUGCAACGAGACCUCAGCAAGAAGCGCUCGGAUUCGAACAUGAAGAAGACCAUAUCAGUAAAGGCGCGAUCGCAGCUGCAACAGAACGGCCACGCCCUUACGUCUAAACUCGCCAACUUGCUCGAUCCUGAGGCCUCUUGGGAUAAGGAUCAAUUGGGGGACGUUCUCCACUGAAUGCGGCAAGCGUUGGGCCUCGCGUGUGGUUUGCUGUGGGGUGCGUAUUCCCUUAGGUGGUGCUACCUGGAUUGUUGUCUUGCUUGGAUUCUUGUAUACAGUUUGGCACACUUUUAAACAGCUGUUAUCUGCUGAACCACAUGGAGCCCCAUCUUUUGAUCUCCCAUGAAAUGAGAACUAGCAGUGGCUUUGUUAGUUAGAGAUAUUUUUGGUAUAUUGAUUUCUACCAUAUGGGUGGAGAGCAUUUGUUUUAUAGUACUUAAUAGUGCCAAGGGAUUCCUCUUUGCAUUAUUUCUCACCAUCCAUAGUGUUUGACAUUACUAUACUUGUUGCAGUUGUGAAGGGCACAAUUCCAGGGAAAAUCCCUAUGCUCAUCAAAGAGGAUUAUUCGUGAACAAAGUUUAAUCAGUGUGGUAUAGUCCUUAACAAAGUAUUUGUUUUCCUGUGCUGAAAUAAUUGCAGCAAGCAAUCACAUGCCAGACUAAGCAAGAAGAGCAUGAGAGGUGAUUUGAUAGUUUGUUCAUCCAACAGAAGAAAAGCCUCCUAAAAGGUUAGAGCUUGUAGCUUAAUUAUAUCUUCAAGCAUUGUAUUUCUUACCACUAGUCUAUGCAGUCUGCCUUCUGCACCAAUGUCUGGAAAUCACAAACAACAAUACCCAAACACAAGAAGGAAAAAAUAGAACAACUGCAUCAAGAUGCCUACAGCAUGUAAGCCAAAGUCAGGAACUCAUGCUUCCACUGAACUAGUUGGAACAUAUUUGGUCAUAGCUAGAAGUAUAUUAACACCUCAUUUAUAGAACAAAGAAUGAAAUCUCAAGGAGUAAAACAUCAACAGUGAAGCAUAGAUGUGUAGUACAAAAAUGUGGCCUAUAAUACUGUGCUAAACCUUGUUAAUAGACUUCAGCGAUGGUCUUAGAACAUUCCAGUCCAGUUUCUGCCACUUGGGAGAACUUUUUCCAUUGUUAUUAGAGGAUGAUUGUCCACCAUCAUCAACUGCAGUUUUCAGGAAUUUUUGUGGAGU